This 253-nucleotide ribosomal RNA is filed under the name uncultured bacterium. RNAcentral's name for it is "partial 16S ribosomal RNA". It matches the Rfam family "Bacterial small subunit ribosomal RNA", at positions 524 to 776 of the family's 1533-position model. The record is from RNAcentral.
UACGUAGGUGGCAAGCGUUGUCCGGAUUUACUGGGCGUAAAGAGCGCGCAGGCGGUCGUUCAAGUCGCGUGUGAAAGCCCCCGGCUCAACUGGGGAGGGUCACGCGAUACUGAUCGACUCGAAGGCAGGAGAGGGAAGUGGAAUUCCCGGUGUAGUGGUGAAAUGCGUAGAUAUUGGGAGGAACACCGGUGGCGAAGGCGGCUACCUGGACCGGUUCUGACGCUGAUGCGCGAAAGCGUGGGUAGCAAACAGG